CAAGCCGAGUCUGUGAACUACACUACAGCUCACAGCAAUGCCAGAUCCUUAACCCACAGAGUGAAGCCAGGAAUUGAACCCACAUCCUCAGGGAUACUAGUCAGGUUCAUUAUCUGACUAGCCACGAAGGGAACUCCACAUGUGGCCUCUCUGAAGCUGUUUUGUGUUGUAUCAACAAGAUGAAGCAUUCAGUGCCAAGAGCAGACUGAAUGGUGGACAGUCAGGCAGUUUGGAAGGACAGAUCCAGUUACUCCCAGAAGAGUCCUUAUCUAGGGUCAACCUUGGAGCCACCACGAUUGAUUUAUUCAGGAAAGCAGCCUUUUCUCACCCCUACCGCCCAGUCCCAUGGCUGAGGAAUUUGAGAAAGGUCUCCCCUAAUCCUUGGGCGCCAUCUGUUUGCACUGGAUGACAAAACAUCCCUGGCAGAGGGCUCUGUACCUUUCAUUGCAUCAAGGCUCUUUCAUCAGCAUUCUGGAAAAGGCUUAGUUUCUGAAGCUGCAAAGAGGGCGAAGUUGACAUAUUUUCAUUUUUGGCCCAGAAAUAUUCUGUGUAAUCCUUGUGCCAGGGAUUUGGGGACAAGGCAGAGACUGACAUAUCCCCAAGGGUGUCUGGAACCAGCAACUUACCAACAGGGAUUGGUCCUUGGUGUCAGGAUGGACUUGGGUGGAAGUGUAUUCCCUAAAAGCACGGGGUGCUGGAGAAUUCAUAACAGCUCCUCGGACACUGUCAGGCCCUGAGCUCAGUUGCAUGGUCUUACGGAUCCCUCAACAGGCCUGGCUUUUGGCCCCAUUUCACAGAUGGUGAAGUUGAGCUCACAGAAGUCAUGUCACUAUAAUUCUCCCUAGGUCACAUGAAUAGUAAGUACAGCUAGAGUUUGAAUCCAGAUCCUCUUUAUUUUAUUCACUCAUUUGUAUAUUUUGAUGCUUUUUAGUAAAUUUUAAUUGUACACAUUUUUAAAAAUUACAGUUGUUUUACAAUGUUGUGCUAAUUUCUGCUGUAUAGCAAAGUGACCCAGUCACAUAUUUUGUAUAGUCCCUUUUUUAUAAUAUAUAUAUAAGAAUAUAUAUAUAUUUUUUUCUUUUGUUGUUGUUGUUGUUGCUUUUUAGGUCCACACCUGUGACACAUGGAAGUUCCCAGGAUAGGGGUCGAAUCGGAGCUGUAGCCACUGGCCUACGCCAGAGCCACAGCAACGCGGGAUCCGAGCUGCGUCUGCAACCUACACCACAGCUCAGGACAAUGCCGGAUCGUGAGCAGGGGCAGGGACCGAACCCGCAACCUCAUGGUUCCUAGUCAGAUUCGUUAACCACUGCGCCACGACGGGAACUCCAUGAUCACAUUUUGAAUAUUGAGAAUCUGGGAAAUAUGGUGUCUUUUCUUGCCAUACUCUGGUUAUGCUCUGCUUGUAUUUCCUUGUUUCACCUUCUAAAGUCUUGCAUGACCCAUUCAGCUCAAC
Molecule: long non-coding RNA, 1453 nt
Filed under: Sus scrofa (pig)
Lineage: Eukaryota; Metazoa; Chordata; Mammalia; Artiodactyla; Suidae
Description: lncRNA (ENSSSCG00065061486.1)
Source: RNAcentral